RNAcentral lists this small nuclear RNA (107 nucleotides) under Cebus imitator (Panamanian white-faced capuchin). The record is from RNAcentral. Lineage: Eukaryota; Metazoa; Chordata; Mammalia; Primates; Cebidae.
GUGCUCGCUUCGGCAGCACAUGUAUUAAAACUAGAAAGAUACAGAGAAGAUUAGCAUGGUCCCUGCACAAGGAUGACAUGCAAAUUUGUGAAGAGUUCCAUAUUUUU